UGAUUUUCAGGUUUGGGCUUUUUUAUGACGGACAUCAUCUGGUAUAGUAAAGUUUUUUUCUCUGCUAUGCAUAAUAAUGAUUAACUCUCACUUCAUGAGCCAAGUAAAAGGUCGUAAUUCAAGGUAUUCAACUCAUAAAAUAAGAGCUGACUUCCUGAUAUGAGUACAAAAACAAAAUCGCCAACAGAAGAAAACAAGAAAACAAAUCGGCAAGUACCAUGAGGGGUUACAUGGAGUGACAGAGGACAGUUGUAUAUUUAUCACACAGUCUCAACCACAACAGGGACAUAGGGGGAUGGGGAUGAUCUGCAGUGGGGGUUUCUGCCCCGACCUGCCCGGACAGCCCCCAGCAGGACCCUGAACCAACACGAGGCUGUCAGCACCUCCAACUGUCCACAUCACAGCCAGGGCACUGCUGUCAGCACCCCACACACACACACACACACACUCACUCUCUCACACACACACACACACACACACCAAUGACAAAUGCACACACACUGAGAGCAACAGAUACCCCCUCAAAUUCCCACAAUCACACAAACACACACACACACACUGCACUGGCUUAGGUUUGUUUAGUCUGUUUGUGGCUGUCAGUCACUUUUCUACUCUCUGAACACACUGAUUCAGCUAAUAUAAUAUCAUUUUUAUCUCAUAUUUAACAGGUAGAAGCUGCAUCACAUUUGAAUAAGCAGAAUACAUCUUGCGAACAAAGCUACCCUUUUUCUUGCUCUACCCUAUAAUCCAAUUGUGAUCAUUUUAGGCUCCAAAAAGAAGAUGUCAUCAGCCAAAAUGCCCAAUUUGAGGUACUGAGCAGCCUGUGUCCAUUUCUCACACAGCCUGAAAUCUGCUGGUAUAUGUGCACUGACACGGUUACAAGGUGGGAAUCAAGCAAAGGUCGUUCGACUUCAGUUUGGAAAGUUUAACUUCUCCCAUAAAGUUUUUGGUCCUGAUCUCUUUUUUGUUCUCAGGAGAGCUCCUUCCUUUUUUAUCUUUCCAUUUGCCCUUUUUCAGACAAUAAUCACAAUGUCUUACUGUAACCUGAUCAGAUGCCGCUGUCUAGACAAAAUCUACAAAAUGACCCCACUUUGGCAAACAUGUCCUCAUUUUUCCGACCCAGUUUAUUCCAUCUGAGUCCUUCCUGUCACCUCAUCUCUCCUCAUACAUCCACCUCUCCAUAUUAAAGUGUGUGCCGUCAGUCUGCUCCUGCCAACCACAGAUGGAGCUGAAUACUGGAUGAAGAGAUGGAGCUGCGUCAUGGAGGCUGCAGGGUGAAGUUAGAUAGGGCCGGGUUUGAUCUCUUUGACCCCAUCUGUCAGGUUUCAGCGAUCCUGACUGCUGAUAAUCUAGGUUAUUACAUUCAAACAAAAUGGGUCGGUUUGUCUACCUGGAUGGAAUGAUAAGUUAAAAUACAAACACCUUAAAAGGGACAGACUUUUAAACUGCCGUGGAGGCUUGACAUCCUAAAUAAAUGGCCUCAGACAGGAAGAGUAAAUAGUUUCCCUGAGGAACACCAUUUCCUAAACAAUGAUGAGUACGUUUGAUUUAAGGGGACUUAACGCAACUUUGUAUGCCUGAAAGUAGACAAAAAAGAUGAUUUAAAGCUCUAAAGUCCAACAUCAGCAGGCCCAGAUUGGUUGGAAUAAUGACAGUGAAUGCUCGGGUGUACCUGGACCAAGGUGAACAGAUCAUAAUUUCUGAGUGUGUUUUAUAAAUUUAGUCUUUCUCUAUUUAAUCUUAGAAACUCAUUUUCAGGCUUUUUCUUCACUUAGAGAGGGCAGAUCAGUGGACGGAGCAGGAGCCAGAGAAUGACAUAUGGAAAAGGAGUCAAGGACUGAAGGCGAACCCGGGCAUAGGGCACAACCUCCAUACAUGGGGCAACCACAUGGACCGCCAGGCCAGUGGCAUCCCAACUAUGUAUGUUUAAUUCUGGAUGGUUUUCCAAUAAGACUAAAAAAAACUGCAGUCAGGAUUUUUGGUAUUAAUAAUCCUGACUCAACCUAACGUUCAGUCAUCCUACCAGAUGUUGGCUUCAGGGUCUCCUCACAAAUAUCCACAGUGUGCCUGCCUGUCAGUCAAGUCAGCUGUGCCUCUGAUUCUCCAGAGGCAGAGAAUAACUUCAGAUGAAUGAAUCACUCCCCUCACAGUGGGUGCUGUGGGAGCCCUGAGCUAUACAGACCAAAACUGAAUUUUGAACCAGAAAACACGUUUUCUUAAAGCUUGAAUCAGGCUGUUUCGGAUCAGUGUGUAUGUAUGUUUUCAGGUGCUUCUGCAGCCCGUCUCAAGUGUGCUCUCAGGUACCUGCACUUUUUAGCACUUACACAUCAGCUUUAUUACUCAAGAAUGGAGGUUGCAGCUUGAUUUGACUUCAUUUAUAUAAUCACACAGAUGAUUUCCGUAGAGACCUCAGAGCCUCACUGACCUUGAUCGUGUCUUUGUUUCAGGUGACAGUUGUAAGGAUUGGUAGAAGUGGACAUUUUGAAGGUUGUUGGUUAGAUUUUAACCCUAACUGCUCUGUGAGCAUGUGUGUACCUGAGCACACUAACAGCACAGGAACAGCUGACUUUGUCUCCAUUUGAGCUCAUAUUGAAGUGCUGAGGUAGUACCUCUGUUACUGUAUAAUCAGACUGUUUUUUUCUGGGUUAAAAGGUUAAACCCAGUCUUCCUCUGGUCUCAUAUCAGCAUUGGACUCUGUACAGCAAUAAACUCUCUGUUUUAUAGUUAAACUGAGCUCUGCUCUCAUCAUAGAAAUAAGCCGACAGCUUGUUAAAAACUCACAGCUCUCUCUCUCAGGGGAAAUAUCUUAUAUUAGUCAGAGAUUCAGUCUUCAUCAAACAGAGCUAUUGACUGUUUGCUAGAAUUCAGUCUGCUCUCCUCCACCCUAUCUUUAUCAGGCUUAUCAGCUAUCUCUUAUCAGCUGGCCUACAUGCAGGCCUGAACACCAGAGGACAAGAUGUGAGAGUGUGUGUGUGCGUGUGUUGCAGCAUGCUGACACUCAGAGUUACAGAGUGACUUAGUUCACAAAAAUGGAUGAAGAUCAGGUGAACAGGUUUUUUGAAAGUUCAUUCAGUGUUUCAGACAAACAGACAGACAGACAGCUGCCUGGCAUAUUGAAUCGUGAAAUCAUGUUAGCAGGAGUAUUGUCUUAUAACCUUGCCCCCCCCCCAGGCCAGAGAUGUUCCCCAUGGUGUGUUAUGGGUUAUGACUGCUUGGACCACAAACAGAUUCACUCAUCCAGAUUUUAUUCACUUUGCAGGGCAGCAGGGGAGAGGUCAUCAGGGGGGGUAGCUACAAUGAUGCCCAGGAAAAACACACGAAAAGUUGUACACUUUACACACACACACAGACACACACUGUAAAUGUGUCUGCGUCACAGACCUGAACCUGAAUCAGCUCACAGGGUUUAACUAUCUUACUAUCAUGGAGGUGGAGUCAUUCUUGUUAGAAUCAAGAGUUUAAUCAUCUGCACAACCUAACCCUAACUUGUUUAUCAUUCUUUGAGUCCUAGUAAAGUUGAUCAAGACAUUAUUCUCUGCUCCUUUUUGACCUUGUGGGUGUGCAAUAAAACACACCUGUGUGCUGUGCUUUGUUCAAAUGUCAUAUGGAUCAAACAUCAGAGGAGGAUUUGGACCCUGCACAAACAGGCUUUCAACAGCCUUUCUCAGUUUUAGUGUGUAUGUCUUUCAAUGCAAAUGAGCUCCUUUUCACCCCGUCCCUCUCUUAGCGAGUUGAAAGAGAGCUCAUUUGAAUUUAAAGAGACAUCCUCUCUGCUUACACUCGUGUGAGAACAACAACGAUGGACUUCCUUAAAGUUCAUUAGUCCUGAAGGUGAGGAUGGAGAUAAUAGCUGAGGGGGUUUAGGUAUUAUUACAAUGACUCUCCUUGUGACCAGCAGAUUGUUUGUUGUUAGAUAUAUGCAGAUUAAAAAAAGGACUGGGUAGGAUACCUAAGUGUUUGUGUCUGACGUAGAGCAAGGGAGCUAGUCCAGGCAAGCAGGCAACUCGAGCUGCACUGAUUUUACACUUGACAUGCAUCAUUGGAGAUUUCCCUGCUCUGCUAUUACCACUGCAGCCAAUGCUACUCUUAGAUUUUCAGCCCCACCACCACCACCAGCAUACACCUGUAGGCUCCAAC
Molecule: non-coding RNA, 4137 nt
Organism: Xyrichtys novacula (pearly razorfish)
Lineage: Eukaryota; Metazoa; Chordata; Actinopteri; Labriformes; Labridae
Source: the annotation of a GenBank genome assembly